RNAcentral lists this ribosomal RNA (491 nucleotides) under uncultured bacterium. Its description in RNAcentral is "partial 16S ribosomal RNA". It matches the Rfam family "Bacterial small subunit ribosomal RNA", at positions 28 to 507 of the family's 1533-position model. The record is from RNAcentral.
GAUGAACGCUGGCUACAGGCUUAUCACAUGCAAGUCGAGGGGAAACGACGGGGAAGCUUGCUUCCCCGGGCGUCGACCGGCGCACGGGUGAGUAACGCGUAUCCAACCUGCCUCUGACUGAGGGAUAACCCGUCGAAAGUCGGCCUAAUACCUCAUGGCAUCGUCUGCGGGCAUCCAACGACGAUUAAAGAUUUCAUCGGUCAGGGAUGGGGAUGCGUCUGAUUAGCUAGUUGGCGGGGUAACGGCCCACCAAGGCGACGAUCAGUAGGGGUUCUGAGAGGAAGGUCCCCCACAUUGGAACUGAGACACGGUCCAAACUCCUACGGGAGGCAGCAGUGAGGAAUAUUGGUCAAUGGGCGAGAGCCUGAACCAGCCAAGUAGCGUGCAGGAUGACGGCCCUAUGGGUUGUAAACUGCUUUUAUGCGGGGAUAAAGUGAGGGACGUGUCCUUCAUUGCAGGUACCGCAUGAAUAAGGACCGGCUAAUUCCGUG